This 824-nucleotide ribosomal RNA is filed under the name uncultured bacterium. RNAcentral describes it as "bacterial SSU rRNA". It matches the Rfam family "Bacterial small subunit ribosomal RNA", at positions 9 to 873 of the family's 1533-position model. The record is from RNAcentral.
AGAGUUUGAUCCUGGCUCAGGAUGAACGCUGGCGGUAUGCUUAAUACAUGCAAGUCGUACGAGGGCUUUUAGCUCUAGUGGCGGACGGGUGAGUAACACGUGAGAAUCUGCCCUUAGGAGGAGGAUAACAGCUGGAAACGGUUGCUAAUACUCCAUACGCCGAGAGGUGAAAGGAUUUAUCUGCCUAAGGAGGAGCUCGCGUCUAAUUAGCUAGUUGGUAAGGUAAAGGCUUACCAAGGCGACGAUCAGUAGCUGGUUUGAGAGGAUGAUCAGCCACACUGGGACUGAGACACGGCCCAGACUCCUACGGGAGGCAGCAGUAGGGAAUUUUCCGCAAUGGGCGAAAGCCUGACGGAGCAAUACCGCGUGAGGGAUGACGGCCUGUGGGUUGUAAACCUCUUUUCUCAAGGAAGAAGUUCUGACGGUACUUGAGGAAUAAGCAUCGGCUAACUCUGUGCCAGCAGCCGCGGUAAUACAGAGGAUGCAAGCGUUAUCCGGAAUCACUGGGCAUAAAGCGUCUGUAGGUUGUUUGGUAAGUCUGCUGUUAAAGACUGGGGCUCAACCCCAGAAAAGCAGUGGAAACUGCUAGACUUGAGUGUGGUAGAGGUAGAGGGAAUUCCUAGUGUAGCGGUGAAAUGCGUAGAUAUUAGGAAGAACACCAAUGGCGAAGGCACUCUACUGGGCCAUAACUGACACUGAGAGACGACAGCUAGGGGAGCAAAUGGGAUUAGAUACCCCAGUAGUCCUAGCCGUAAACGAUGGAUACUAGAUGUUGCACGUAUUAACCCGUGCAGUAUCGUAGCUAAGGCGUUAAGUAUCUCGCC